GACGAACGCUGGCGGCGUGCUUAACACAUGCAAGUCGAACGGAAAGGCCCUGCUCUUGUGGGGUGCACGAGUGGCGAACGGGUGAGUAACACGUGAGUAACCUGCCCUUGACUUUGGGAUAACUUCAGGAAAAUGGGGCUCAUACCGGAUAGGAGCUCCUGCUGCAUGGUGGGGGUUGGAAAGUUUCGGCGGUUGGGGAUGGACUCGCGGCUUAUCAGCUUGUUUGUGGGGUAGUGGCUUACCAAGGGUUUGACGGGUAGCCGGCCUGAGAGGGUGACCGGCGACAUUGGGACUGAGAUACGGACCAGACUCCUACGUUACGCAGCAGUGGGGAAUAUUGCGGAAUGAGCGGAAGCCAGAUGCAGCAACGCCGCGUGCGGGAUGACGUCCUUCGGGUUGUAAACCACUUUCGCACGUGACGAAGCGUGAUUGACGGUAAUGGGUAAAGAAGCACCGGCUAACUACGUG
This 468-nucleotide ribosomal RNA is filed under the name uncultured bacterium. RNAcentral describes it as "partial 16S ribosomal RNA". It matches the Rfam family "Bacterial small subunit ribosomal RNA", at positions 28 to 507 of the family's 1533-position model. The record is from RNAcentral.